This is a long non-coding RNA of Aplysia californica (California sea hare), 1435 nucleotides long. RefSeq lists it as uncharacterized. The transcript is spliced from 3 exons. The record is from RefSeq and is a predicted model, not a curated record. Lineage: Eukaryota; Metazoa; Mollusca; Gastropoda; Aplysiida; Aplysiidae.
UUGUAACACGAGAGAGAAUAAAAAGUAGAAACCAGCCAAGGACGUCUGUUAUGUGACUGAGACAAGAGACGGUCAAGGAAUAGACCCACGCUUUCUGCUGACCAGUUGUCGGACAAACGACUGUCCUAGAGAUUGGUGCAGAAGCUGAAAGUCCUUGGCGCAGUCCCGGCCGGUCGACAUAGACAGUCCCUCCCACUUCCACCAUGAGCGUCUUUCGUCACAGCUCCAUGGCCCUUAGGCGGAUGGCCAGCAAGAACAAAUCAAACAAGCGACCCUACACACAGCUGACACAGCCUGCCAUGAAAGUCUCACAGACACACAGCAAUGCACAGACAAAGAGUGGCUCGGACGGCUGGAUUGUCCCGGCUGCCAUUGCUAUCCUCGGUCUGGGCUUCUCCACCUUCAGCACACACCAGCUCAUGACUGCCAGCUCUAACGAAUAUGCUCUGCCCAACAAGAAGUAGGACCAUGCAUCUCACUGUGUGCCCAAUUUGGUCAACUGAAUGGAAGUGUAUGGAUCUGGUGUCUGGUUAAAUUGCUGAAAUGAGGGUACCACUUUUCCGGAUGUUUCGUGAUUUCUGUGAGCCUAACUGAUGUCGAAAAGUUUUGUAGUUGUUUCUUGUUCCGUGUUGUUGUCUUGUGAUUUUAUGUUGUGAUUUCGGAGACAUCUGUCGAGUCUUUCUGGGAGCCAUAUGGUUCUGUGGUUCUUCUCCAGGAGUCUUGAAAGAUCAGGAGGGUGUGGCGCCCUUGAUAUGUUCAGUGCUAUGCAGGUGUAAAUUGUAUUUUGAUCAGCAGUGUGUGUGUGUGUGUGUGUGUGUGUUUGUUGGGGGGUAGGGGGUGUGAGGUUGGCGGCAGUAGAUAUGUGAAACAUUGCUGCUACUGGUGCUUUUUGCAAUUUAGAGAGUGCUACUUGAAGGAGAUUGGGUGGAUGGCAGUGUGUUAUGUUGUAAAAAUGAGUGGAAGAACUUCAGUUUUGGUUUAUAUUUCUUUUUUUGUAUAGAUGUUUUGAGGUGUAUAUAUAAAUGUAGAUGUAGGGUAUAUCUUUAGAAAUUUUAGAGUAGUGAAAAGUUUGAAAAUAUUAAAAAAAUAAGUGGAAUAGAGAACUUGAUCAGUCCUGAGUGUGAAUUUACCCGAAAGUAGCGACAGUAAUUUUAUUGUAACUUUUAGAUUCGGUUUUCAAACAUUCUGUUUCAUUGUGGGUUUUUUUAGCCAACCAAAAUGAUCUCAAAGCUUGCCAGGAUGAUGAGUUCUUGUAGUCUACUUAUGUUUGUGUGCAUCUGUACAGUGUGUAAAUCAAAUUUUUCGCCUAUGGCAGAACUGUAAAUACUGUGCCAAACACGUCAAUGCAAGUAACUUAUGCUCUGGUUUUGAUAUAUAUGACUUGAGAAUUUUAUUCCUGGACUGUUGUUCAAUAAAACAGCUCUGCUAAUUUUCA